Molecule: long non-coding RNA, 3400 nt
Filed under: Homo sapiens (human)
Lineage: Eukaryota; Metazoa; Chordata; Mammalia; Primates; Hominidae
Description: HSALNT0353119
Source: RNAcentral
GAGUUGGGGGAGAGGACCAGAACCACCUGCUGGAGAAGGGGAGCUACGGGGGCCGGGCAGGGUCCAAACGCCUCACGUAGGCGGCGGCGCCACGGUCUUCGGGGUCACAGGGAAGAGAAGGGCUCUCCUCAAGCGGGUGGAAGGAGGGAGGCCUCCCGAGGGAGUGAGACUCUAGGCCACUCCCCCGCAGCAAGGCAGGAUCACCUGCGACGCGGAGAGCGGUUAGAGGGCCCUGGAGUGGAAAAGGGCAGUGGGACCUGGUAGCUUGGGUUCCCUGCAACUUGGGGUUCGACCUCCAGGCAAUGAAGUAGGGAUGGUCCUGCAAGUCAAGAUUCCAGUAGCAAGAGUGCAUCAGAUCUCUGUAAGGAAAAUAACUAACAUUGCUCAGUUCCCUGUAGAGUUGCAGGGCGCUUUAACGUUAUCUCCCUUGGUUCUCCAUCAGGUCGUAGUGGACUAAUUUUACAGGCGAAGUUAAGUGACUUACCCAAAACCUCACAGCUAAUAAACGGCAGAGCCGGCACCCAGCUGUACUGGCUUCCAAUUCUGUUAGCUUACCAGCGCAUCACAUUAUCUCCAUAAAUCCCCAUGAUUCAACUAAUAUUAGACGCCCCACAGGUAAGAUGCUUCAGAGUUAGAGGGGAGUUGAAGAUACCUUUGCCUUCAAAGAAGUAAGGAAUAAAACAAAGAUAAAACAGACAAUAAAAGACAAACCAUGAUAGGUGCCACGUGAAAAGUGGCAGAGUACUGCCGGGAAUCAAAGAACCGUGUAUAUCUGUCUUGGGGAUAAGGAAAGAAAGGCAGCAUGAAGGAGUAGGCAUUUGGGAUUGACCUUGAAGGAGACAGGGAGAGUUUUACAGCAAGCAGGGAUAGCAUGAGAAUAUAUAUGAAGGCGAAUCAGUGAAAGUUGUGUUGGGGAAAGAGCAAAGACUCCAGGGUAUGUUGAGAGGUAGAAAAGACAAAGGAGUAUGGGGCCUAAGAUACCAAAUGGAUGAAUUUAUAUUUAAUUCAGUAUUUUGAGUUUUUAUGGUUCAGAAGUUUGGGGGAAGAAAAGGAAGGUUUUUUUUUUUCUUUGUGCUAGUGAUUUAUCUGUGAGGGGAAGCAGAAAUCAGAGGUGGAAAAACGGACAGAUCUACUGUAGGCCAGGUAAAAAUGAUGAGUCUGACCUAAAGGGACAGCUAGGGGAAUUUAAAAGAGCAUAGUUGAGAGAUGAUGUGCAUGCAGUAUCUAUAGAAUUUGGCAACUGAUUGAUUAAUUGUGGGUAGGAAGAGAGAAAUCAAAGAAAGUGGAGGUUUUGAGUUUGUAGAUAAUUGCAAGAGAGAAAAGAGACAAUUACAAAGGAGAGGGAGCUACUUCUUGAGAGAUCAGUUUAGAUUUGGACAUUUUAAGAAUUCAAAGGGUUGUCAAGACAGCCAGAGAGACAUGGACACUAAUAAGUUAGAAAUAAAGGUUUUGUAAUAUGGGAAAGAGGACUGAACUAGAAAAUAGACUCAUAAAUAAUCAGCCUAGGAGUGAUAUUGCUGUGAGAUAAAAGAAGAAAACAAAGGUCAGAAUCUUGGAAAACACCCUCUUUAGAGUCUCGCUACUCAAAACGUGGUCAGUGGCCCAGCAGCACUGACAUGAGGAUGUUAGUUAGAAACUCAGAAUCUCAGGCUCCACCCCAGACCUGCUGAACCAGCAUCUUCAACUUAACAAGAACCCGAAGAGAUUUGUGUCACAUCAAAAAGUUUGAGAAGCUCUGAUCUAGGGCUGGAAGGAGUGUUGCUCAACAAUAUCCAAAACCACAGAGGUUGAAAAGCACAAGGAAAGAAGGUAUGUUUGCACUUUGUGAUUAGGUAGUAGGGUCUUUGAGACCACAUUGUUCUUAUUGAAAGCCUGGGAAGAAAGAUCCCCUUUCUGGUCAAGUUUAGUCUAGGGAUCCAUCCCAUCUUCCCCAGUUCCCACGUGUAUGGGACAUGUCGAGAUAAGUAGAUAGAUUGGACAGUGGGAGAAAGUAGUUCUCUUCCAGUUGCUUCUAUUUUCUCAGCAAAGUGAGGAGCAAGAUCAUUUUGGCAGACUGCUAAUUGUCCAUCACAAUUUAGUCUCCCUUUCUCCCUGAAAACACAGACUGCUUUUCUCAGCCUCUCUUUCAGUUGCAUAUGGUCAAGUAUUAAGUUAUAGAACGUGAGCAGAUGUUAUGUCUGCCACUGUCAGGCCAAGGCGUUUACUUUGAGAGUACUUGUGCCUCUUUCAUGCAUUUUCCUUUCUGCCAGCUGGACCCUGGACACGGUGACUCUGAUUCAAUUAUGCAGAUGACCACAAACCUCUGGGGUUGGCAGAGCCACAAGAAAGAAGGUGCCUGGAUGAAGGAGAGCUACCCACUGACCUGGACACCCAAUUAUAGGAUAGACAGUGAAGUGCAACUACAGCCCGCAAAUGAAAAUGAAUAAUAUUAAUCCAGCCCCUCAAGGCAGGCGAGUAGCUGCUGUCAUCUGUCUUAGAGCUAUUGGAAUCCUGGAUCAUUGUGGGAAAUGAAAGGAACUGGUUUUUAGCAAGGAGACCAAGAAACUCUACUCCCUAGGGGCUAGCAAUGAGAGAAAGGAAGCCUUAAGUCUUUGAGCACAGGGUGACAGUUUGGGUCCUAUGUGAGAUGAUCAAAUCCACAGCAACAGAGGAAAGGACAAAAGGAAAAGAUACUUCGAUGGAAUCAGCAGCCAUUGAUCCAAUGCCAACUCCAAGACUGGAACGUCGCAAUGAUAGUUCCAAGGCGGAAAUUUGACGUAAUUCUUUUCGACACAGUUUUACAGGCAUCUUGCAUGUGAAUAACUCACAACUUUAAUUCAUGGAACAAAUUGAGAAAUAGUCUUUUGGGGGUUUGGUACUCCCUGGAAACAUAAGAGUGCUUUGGGCACCUCUGGUGCCUUUCCAUGCCUGCCUUCUCUGCUGUUCUUGCUACUAGUGAAUUCUAAAUCAUGGCCAAGUGAUGCCAGCACUGGAUAAUAUUGGCUCUGCCCCAUAUCUCGAGGGAAAACUCUAGGACUUGGCAUUAUAUGUGUGGGAAUCUGGCCUUGGUUGGCACUCCCAGCAUGAUAGCGGGGUUCUCCUGUCUGAAUGUACUCUGGGGUGUGCGCCACAAUUUCUGUCAUCGAAAUGGAGAUGAGAGAAUAUGCCCUUGGUGGGGACACCCCACUGGAAUUAGAGUGAAGAGAUCAAAGCUAGAGGUUCUUAAAUCAAAGAAUAUCUAAUAGCAAAGACAAAAACUUGCUUAAGGGAAAUGCAUACAAGUACUAGACCUAAUAUGAUGAAAAAUGCCAACUUCAAUAUAUUGAUGCAUGCUUAGUACACUUUCAGUCCUGCAAAGACAAAGUUUUUUGUUGUUUUUUUUUUGAGACGGAGUCUCGCUCUGUCGCCCAGGUUGGAGUGC